GCACUGCCCUUGCUCGCUCUCCACCGACCGCCCGGAUCCCUCUGGUUCCCACUAGGGCACGGGCACCGCCUGCAGCUCCAGCGUCUUAGCGUGUGCCUCUUCUACCAGAAAAAUGCUCACCUGGGUCAACAAAGGACAAAUGCGAGACUGUUCAUUACUGUGAGCUGUGUAGUGGGGAGCUGGAGAUAAACAAGAAUGUCGAACUGUCUGGAACAUGGGAAUGAGAACAACAUACUAGGAAUGGUGCAGCAACAACAAAGAAGAACCCAGGGCCCUUGACAUCUUUGCAUAUUAGAGCCAAGCUUUAACUUCCAAGAGAAAUAAACUUCUAUGUUA
Molecule: long non-coding RNA, 336 nt
Organism: Molossus molossus (Pallas's mastiff bat)
Lineage: Eukaryota; Metazoa; Chordata; Mammalia; Chiroptera; Molossidae
Exons: 3
Source: RefSeq, a predicted model, not a curated record